RNAcentral lists this ribosomal RNA (442 nucleotides) under uncultured bacterium. Its description in RNAcentral is "partial 16S ribosomal RNA". It matches the Rfam family "Bacterial small subunit ribosomal RNA", at positions 338 to 795 of the family's 1533-position model. The record is from RNAcentral.
CCUACGGGUGGCAGCAGUGGGGAAUAUUGGGCAAUGGGCGCAAGCCUGACCCAGCGACGCCGCGUGAGGGAAGACGGUCUUCGGAGUGUAAACCUCUGUCAGCAGGGAAGAAAAAAGGACGGCACAUGCAGAAGAAGACACGGCUAACUACGGGCAAGCAGCCGCGGUAAUACGUAGUUGGCAUGCGGUAUCCGGAAUUACUGGGUGUAAAGGGAGUGUAGGCGGGUUUGCAAGUCAGAAGUGAAAAUUAUGGGCUCCACCCCUAACCUGCGUCUGAAACUCCAGAUCUUGAGAGUGGGAGAGGUAAGCGGCAUUCCCGGUGUAGCGGUGACAUGCGUAGAUCUCGGGAGGAACACCAGUGGCGAAGGCGGUUUACUGGACCACAACUGACGCUGAGUCACGAAAGCGUGGCGAGCAAACAGGAUUAGAUACCCUUGUAGUC